CUUCAUCCCUUUUCAGAUGGGAGCCAACAGCUCAGUGCUCACUGAUUUAAAGUUAGACACAUCUCGGGGGAAAAGCAUAAGAAAGAGCAACUCCAGUAGUGUCACCAAUAACCCUGUUUUGCCCAAGAUGGACAGGGUUCCUGGGAAGUGGGACUCUCAAUGCUGAGACCAGGGAGGUCUGGAUGUGCCAAGCUGAGCUGCCACUCCAUAACCAUGCCUGGCAACAGCCUUGUGGGAAUACGGAGGAGGAAGCUGGCCCAAAGAGCCCAGUAACUGCACCGUACUCAGCACAAUGCCCGGCACACCAUUCUAACAGCAGCAGCUAAAACUCAGAACAUCCUACCAGAUGCGUGUUGUACACCAGAUACUGUUGUCAGCACUGUGGACAAAACAGAUGAGCAGUCCUGUCCUGAUGGAGCUGCUGCUUUAGCAAUGGGAAAGAAAAAUCAAAGAAAAACGACAUGAGCGAAACACGUAGCAUGUCAGAUGGCUGUAGGUGCUGUGAAGACAAAUAAGGUUACAGAGGCGCCGCUGAGGGAAGAAACAUUUUACCAGCUCUGAAGUUUCUGUCUGGGUGAAAGAGAAGGACUGGCCUGGCUUUCCCAUCUACUCCAGUCUCUUGAAGUCACACUGGCCCCUCUUACUGGCCAGUUUGUAUUUCAUUCCAGCACAGUGCAGGGGAAACAACGUGGAGUUUGGAAUCCAGCGGACUGGGUCUGAAUCUCACCAUGAACCCUGGCUAACCAUGAGAGCAAUCAGAGCUGAGCAGCUAAUAUGUUGUUGUGGCAAGCGGUGCAGGUGUGCUGGGAGCCACGUCUUCUUAUUAGAGCCUCUUUGUCACCUGGUGUCAGAAGCUGAAGGUCAUCAAAAUGUGGGCCACCUCUAAAUCACUGUGCCGCCAACAUAACUCCUACCACCGAGCAGACUGUCUUCAGCCACUGGAGCCCAAAAUAGAACCUAAUGGAUUUAGGAAGCAAUCAAUGCUGUCAGUGCUUCUGAAGACAUUUGUGGGUUGUAGCCUAUAAAAUAUUAAUUCUUUCUAUUUGUCUUUAAGAAUAUAUUUUAUGUGUUAAUGCAUUAUUGAAAGAUGCUUUAAUGUUAAGUGACUUUUUAAGACCCAAGAUUCAAACAGCUAAGUUUAUUUUUCUUUAGGAUAUUAAUGUAAAAUAUAAAGACAAAAGCAGAUCCCACUGACCGUACCAGUAGCCAUGCAUUGACAAGCAGGAAAUCAAACUGUAAAAUUCAAGUUGUUUUAUUCAUGUUUUGAUGGGCAAAUAAAUAACUUAUGUAUAGCAUUUCCCAUCUAAUGAAAUGUUUUACUGUUGGAUUUAUUGGGCACAUUUAUGAAAUCACAACUGUGCAGCUCUGCUUUAUUUGGCCUUAAUGACAUGAAGGCCAGGGAGGACUGUGGAUCUUCAGUGUCCAGAGUGAAGUGUGGACGGAGGAGGUAUCGCAAAUCAAAGGGUAAUCGGGAAGACACACAGAAAAUCGUUGAAGACUGACUCAGAAUUCAUCUUCUACUCAAGGACCACUGUGUAUACAUUUGUCUCCUUCCAUGCAUGAACACUGUAUACUGGUACAAAAGUACACAGUAUAUUUCUUGUUUUAUUUCACAGAAAAUGAAGUUCUACAAGGCAUGAUUUACUGCACUUUUAGGGGCCACAAACCACUUAAAUUUCCUGUGACUGUGGUGCCACACUGAAGAAGCAUGUCCACAUGCACACGAAGUUCUUCCUGUGGUUUCUGAGGGUCCUUUCCUCCCUGUGUGAGACAGCUGGGCUCCGGUCUAGUCCGGUGGUCUUGCUUUUCAUCCAAGAUUCUGAGGUUUAAAGGAGUGAUGACCCUGCCAGUGUCACUCAGUUCCUGAUACCUCAUCCCAAUACCCCCUCUCUACACAGUAAGCAGGUGCCAGCAAGGUGGCCAGCAGUGUGGGCUCCUGAGCUCAAAUCCAGAUUUGCUACUCACUGGCCUUGAGCAACUUACUUAGCUUUGUGUGCCAAAAUGUCUUUGUGUAUUUCCUUCACUGUCUGCUUCUUUUUCCCCCUCAUUGCACUCAUAAUGUAAUUCAUAAAACAUUUAAAUAUUCUGGCUGUUCUUUGUUGUUUGUUUUUUGUUUUUAGCUUAUUUGAGGGUGAAUAACUACUGCUUUAUUCUCAGUGUCCAGAACAGCUCCUGGCACACGGUAAGCAACCCAUAGACAGUUACUAGAUAGCUGUAGUGUGGUCUGCCAUGGGCACCCAUGUGAUAUAGCAGCUUGCUGCAAGCAUCAUUCACUCUAGUCGGGUCCAUCUCUCACACAGUGCCUGCCACACUGGAUGUCCUCAGCAAGCACUUGCUAAUUGAAUGCAUGAGAACAUAUAUGAUGCAGUUCAGAG
Molecule: long non-coding RNA, 2375 nt
Organism: Heterocephalus glaber (naked mole-rat)
Lineage: Eukaryota; Metazoa; Chordata; Mammalia; Rodentia; Bathyergidae
Source: Ensembl